AGCGCGCUGCACUGUGGUCUUCUCUCCCAUUCUUGGGUAAGUAAUAAACCAAAACCUAAAAAAAUUCCUCUCAGAGGAGCUAAGGGCUCCCUGAAUCCCAACAUUACAAGACCUUUAAGAGGUAAUUAGAUCAUGAGGACUCUGCCUUCUUAAAUGGAUUAAUACCAUUAUCAAUGAAGUGGGUUCAUUAUCAUGAGAGUGGAUUUGCUAUAAAAGUGAAUUUGGUUCCCUCUUGCUCUUUCUCCUGCACAUGUGAUGUCUCUCUAUGUGAUACUUCCUGCCAUGUUAUGUUGCAGGGAGAAGACUCUCACCAGAUGCAACCCCUCUAACUUAGACUUCCCAGCCUCCAGAAGGCAGACAAAAGCUGACUCAGAGCCUCAGCUGGGUGGUUGCCCCCACCCUGGGGAGCCCAAGGGGAGGCACCCCCUGAGAUGUUCCAGGGCCCCAGGGUUCAGGCCCCGUGGCGACUGUGUAACCGUGGCUGUCAACAUUCACCUAAAAUUCUUCAGGGUCCUGGAAA
This 520-nucleotide long non-coding RNA is filed under the name Callithrix jacchus (white-tufted-ear marmoset). RNAcentral describes it as "lncRNA (ENSCJAG00000081334.1)". Lineage: Eukaryota; Metazoa; Chordata; Mammalia; Primates; Cebidae. The record is from RNAcentral.